UUAGUAACGGCGAGUGAAGCGGCAAAAGCUCAAAUUUGAAAUCUGGCACCUUCGGUGUCCGAGUUGUAAUUUGAAGAAGGUAACUUUGGAGUUGGCUCUUGUCUAUGUUCCUUGGAACAGGACGUCACAGAGGGUGAGAAUCCCGUGCGAUGAGAUGCCCAAUUCUAUGUAAAGUGCUUUCGAAGAGUCGAGUUGUUUGGGAAUGCAGCUCUAAGUGGGUGGUAAAUUCCAUCUAAAGCUAAAUAUUGGCGAGAGACCGAUAGCGAACAAGUACAGUGAUGGAAAGAUGAAAAGAACUUUGAAAAGAGAGUGAAAAAGUACGUGAAAUUGUUGAAAGGGAAGGGCUUGAGAUCAGACUUGGUAUUUUGCGAUCCUUUCCUUCUUGGUUGGGUUCCUCGCAGCUUACUGGGCCAGCAUCGGUUUGGAUGGUAGGAUAAUGACUAAGGAAUGUGGCUCUACUUCGGUGGAGUGUUAUAGCCUUGGUUGAUACUGCCUGUCUAGACCGAGGACUGCGUCUUUUGACUAGGAUGUUGGCAUAAUGAUCUUAAGCC
This 551-nucleotide ribosomal RNA is filed under the name Debaryomyces hansenii. RNAcentral's name for it is "partial large subunit ribosomal RNA". It matches the Rfam family "Eukaryotic large subunit ribosomal RNA", at positions 80 to 646 of the family's 3401-position model. Lineage: Eukaryota; Fungi; Ascomycota; Pichiomycetes; Serinales; Debaryomycetaceae. The record is from RNAcentral.